GGACCUCAAUUUCCAUUUCCACCUUCCAAUUUUUUAAGUGUUAUACUAAAAAUAAGUUCUACAACACCUGAGGAGGGAACAACAAACACAAACUCAUCUUUGCCUGCUGUUAAUGCUACAACAACACCAGCUAAUACAACAUAUCCCAUACCAUCUUCAACUACUCCUAUGAACACAACCACCAGCACUCCUA
This is a long non-coding RNA of Clarias gariepinus (North African catfish), 193 nucleotides long. RefSeq lists it as uncharacterized. The record is from RefSeq and is a predicted model, not a curated record. The transcript is spliced from 3 exons. Lineage: Eukaryota; Metazoa; Chordata; Actinopteri; Siluriformes; Clariidae.